Hyla sarda is the source of this 1416-nucleotide long non-coding RNA. RefSeq lists it as uncharacterized. The record is from RefSeq and is a predicted model, not a curated record. The transcript has 5 exons. NCBI's taxonomy places the organism in Eukaryota, Metazoa, Chordata, Amphibia, Anura, Hylidae.
UUCUGUGUAUUAAAAUUAGCACUUAACUGGCACAGGCGGGGUUACUGCCUUCAACUGCCACUGUGUUGUAACCGCCGCCCUGCCCGCAGCACCGCCCGGCUAAUGAAUAUUCAUAUAUUGCCUUACUAUGUUGUCUCAUAUCGGCCGAGUCCCGGACGCUACUGCGCAUGUGCGGGAUUUCUCACUACACCCGGAAGCGGUCUUCAGCGCUGCUUCAUUCGUCCGGAGCAGCGCUAAAGUAAGGGUGUAGGCAGUUUGAGACUCGGCCGAUAUGAGACAACAUAGAUAGGACGUUCUCGGCUCCUUGAGACCCCGAGGCCUGUCAGCACAUUUCCACCCUACUACCACUACCUCUUGCUGUUGAUUUGCACAUUAAAUUGUGCUCCAGGCUUCAUGGAGGGAAAUAAAGUUGGCUGAACUCCCAGCUAGAGUGUACAGCAGAAACAGGAAGCCCUGCCAGGGUCCCCGCUGAUCAUCACUUUCUGGUACUCAUCUUGAGAGAGAACCAGGAUGUAGACAUGGAGAGCAUCAGAAAUCCGAGAGGUUGAGACAGGAGCAGGAUGUAGAUACCAGAGGGGGCAUGAUGGGCAUCAGAAAGGCAGCAGCAGGGAAGCUCCUUGGAGGGAAAUAAAGGUAGCUGAACUCCCAGCUAGGAUGUACAGCAAGAACAAGAAGCCUGUUACACGGUGUACACUAGACAGGAAGUGGAGAAAUGAAGACAACAGACCAAACAGUUUACUUCAGAAACAUAAGGAAAGCAUGAAAGAUCACAGAAAACUAGCAAAAUCCCUUUGUUGAAUGAUAAACAGUAUGCUCAUUUAUUAGUCAGUAAAAAAAAUAGGUAAAGUAAAAAAAUAGGUGAAAUUACAGGCAAAAAACUCACAUUCUUACAGUGAAAAUGGAGAAAUGUUCUAUUUGGCUGGGAAUCAUGGGCAUAUAUUUUCCCAUAAGGCAGUUUUUCAUGAAAUUCUAGUAGUGCAGCUUUAUUUUUGACCAUGUUUAUUCAUCUAAAACUGUCACGAAAACAAUACUAUACAGCCAAAACCCCAAAGAAGUCCAUUAAAGUUGACACCUUAAGACUUGAUUUAGAUUUUCAUUUAAAUCAGAGGAAUGUUUGUGGUUGUAGAAUUUGUCAUUUUCACAGCUGUUUAAUUUAUCAUUACUCGGGCUAUUGUAGAAUUCGGGAUUUACACGAGGCGGAGAGUCGCAAAUCUCCCGGCUGGAACUUUAAACAGAUUCUGCUCCAAUUAUUAAGGUCACCUAGGAGGGAGAAGGAAGACUGUGGAGCUCGGAGGCCGUGUGUGGGUUUGUUGGUGUGCGCUAGAAAACACAUUCGGCAAGAUAGAAGGAAGAGAAACCAGUUGAGAAUAAAUAAUAAAUAUAUGAGAAUGAAUAAAGAAAAGAACACAAACGUCA